This 253-nucleotide ribosomal RNA is filed under the name uncultured bacterium. RNAcentral describes it as "partial 16S ribosomal RNA". It matches the Rfam family "Bacterial small subunit ribosomal RNA", at positions 524 to 776 of the family's 1533-position model. The record is from RNAcentral.
UACAGAGGGUGCAAGCGUUAAUCGGAAUUAUUGGGCGUAAAGGGUGCGUAGGUGGUUUGAUAAGUUAGGUGUGAAAGUCCUGGGCUCAACCUGGGGAUUGCGCUUAAUACUGUCAAGCUAGAGUAUUGUAGAGGAAAGUGGAAUUUCCGGUGUAGCGGUAAAAUGCGUAGAUAUCGGAAGGAACAUCAGUGGCGAAGGCGGCUUUCUGGACAAAUACUGACACUGAGGCACGAAAGCGUGGGGAGCAAACAGG